UGCAGUCGAGCGGACAGAUGGGAGCUUGCUCCCUGAUGUUAGCGGCGGACGGGUGAGUAACACGUGGGUAACCUGCCUGUAAGACUGGGAUAACUCCGGGAAACCGGGGCUAAUACCGGAUGGUUGUCUGAACCGCAUGGUUCAGACAUAAAAGGUGGCUUCGGCUACCACUUACAGAUGGACCCGCGGCGCAUUAGCUAGUUGGUGAGGUAACGGCUCACCAAGGCGACGAUGCGUAGCCGACCUGAGAGGGUGAUCGGCCACACUGGGACUGAGACACGGCCCAGACUCCUACGGGAGGCAGCAGUAGGGAAUCUUCCGCAAUGGACGAAAGUCUGACGGAGCAACGCCGCGUGAGUGAUGAAGGUUUUCGGAUCGUAAAGCUCUGUUGUUAGGGAAGAACAAGUGCCGUUCAAAUAGGGCGGCACCUUGACGGUACCUAACCAGAAAGCCACGGCUAACUACGUGCCAGCAGCCGCGGUAAUACGUAGGUGGCAAGCGUUGUCCGGAAUUAUUGGGCGUAAAGGGCUCGCAGGCGGUUUCUUAAGUCUGAUGUGAAAGCCCCCGGCUCAACCGGGGAGGGUCAUUGGAAACUGGGGAACUUGAGUGCAGAAGAGGAGAGUGGAAUUCCACGUGUAGCGGUGAAAUGCGUAGAGAUGUGGAGGAACACCAGUGGCGAAGGCGACUCUCUGGUCUGUAACUGACGCUGAGGAGCGAAAGCGUGGGGAGCGAACAGGAUUAGAUACCCUGGUAGUCCACGCCGUAAACGAUGAGUGCUAAGUGUUAGGGGGUUUCCGCCCCUUAGUGCUGCAGCUAACGCAUUAAGCACUCCGCCUGGGGAGUACGGUCGCAAGACUGAAACUCAAAGGAAUUGACGGGGGCCCGCACAAGCGGUGGAGCAUGUGGUUUAAUUCGAAGCAACGCGAAGAACCUUACCAGGUCUUGACAUCCUCUGACAAUCCUAGAGAUAGGACGUCCCCUUCGGGGGCAGAGUGACAGGUGGUGCAUGGUUGUCGUCAGCUCGUGUCGUGAGAUGUUGGGUUAAGUCCCGCAACGAGCGCAACCCUUGAUCUUAGUUGCCAGCAUUCAGUUGGGCACUCUAAGGUGACUGCCGGUGACAAACCGGAGGAAGGUGGGGAUGACGUCAAAUCAUCAUGCCCCUUAUGACCUGGGCUACACACGUGCUACAAUGGACAGAACAAAGGGCAGCGAAACCGCGAGGUUAAGCCAAUCCCACAAAUCUGUUCUCAGUUCGGAUCGCAGUCUGCAACUCGACUGCGUGAAGCUGGAAUCGCU
This 1296-nucleotide ribosomal RNA is filed under the name Bacillus sp. (in: firmicutes). Its description in RNAcentral is "bacterial SSU rRNA". It matches the Rfam family "Bacterial small subunit ribosomal RNA", at positions 56 to 1336 of the family's 1533-position model. Lineage: Bacteria; Bacillati; Bacillota; Bacilli; Caryophanales; Bacillaceae. The record is from RNAcentral.